Long non-coding RNA from Setaria italica (foxtail millet), 748 nucleotides. RefSeq lists it as uncharacterized. The record is from RefSeq and is a predicted model, not a curated record. Lineage: Eukaryota; Viridiplantae; Streptophyta; Magnoliopsida; Poales; Poaceae. The transcript is spliced from 2 exons.
AAUUUUGGCCCACAAUCAGCAGGCUUGAUACCGAAACAGGCCCAAGUUCAGUGCUCCACGGCUCCUCCAUCUCUCGCUGCGCGCUGCUCCCCUGCUUCAGUCCACCUGCCCCCGCCGCCGCCAGGGCCUAGGAGCGAACCGUCGCACCAGUGCGCCGCACCUGCCGGUUUCCUCCCAUCCGCCCGCCGGAGCCCUCGUCCAGUUGUCCCUCGGCGCUCGACAGCUCGGGGCUCGGCUCCACGCGCUCCUCGGCAGAUUACCUCGUCCUUGACGUUGCGACCUUGCCCUUGGCAACUCAACUCCUAGCUGCGUUGCAGGAACUGCCUGCGGGCAGCGGCGGCGCGCCAGAGCAACCGCGCAAGGGCACCACAACGCAAGCGCGCUGGCACAGGCGCCAGCCCGCAGCUCCACCUCUCCUCUCCAGAAAUUUGUGCUUUACUGAAUCUUAUCCAAUGGACGUGCUCCUGCCGAGUGACUUCUCCGGGGACCCUACGCGGUCAGCACCUCCCAUCUCCUCUCAUUUCUCUGUAAAGCAACCGAGUAAUAAUCUAGAUAAUUUCUAAAAUCACUUGCAGCUACCACGUUGAUUUCGUGAAUGGAAUUGUAAUCUAAAAUCAUAUCCUUUAUUUAAGAGGAUUACUAACGAUCUUAAGUUUGAUAAAUAGCUCGGUUUCAAAACUUGUUAGUAAUGCUAGUGUUUGCAAACCAGUUGCUGUCUUGUGGAAAUGCAUCAAAACAUUAGCGUUUA